RNAcentral lists this transfer RNA (74 nucleotides) under Dermacentor silvarum. RNAcentral's name for it is "transfer RNA glycine (anticodon CCC)". The record is from RNAcentral. Lineage: Eukaryota; Metazoa; Arthropoda; Arachnida; Ixodida; Ixodidae.
GUUCCCUUGGUGUAGUGGUCUAUCACGUGCGCCUCCCACGCGCAAGGUCCCCGGUUCGAUCCCGGGCGGCAACA